Non-coding RNA from Callorhinus ursinus (northern fur seal), 201 nucleotides. NCBI's taxonomy places the organism in Eukaryota, Metazoa, Chordata, Mammalia, Carnivora, Otariidae. The record is from RefSeq and is a predicted model, not a curated record.
GCUCCUCCGAUCUUGGAUAUUGUCGCCAUCAAUGACCCCUUCACUGACCUCAACUACAUGGUCUACAUGUUCCAGUAUGAUUCCACCCAUGGCAAAUUCCACAGCAUAGUCAAGGCUGAGAACAGGAAGCUUGUCAUCAAUGGAAAGUCCAUCUCCAUCUUCCAGGAGCGAGAUCCCACCAACAUCAAAUGGGGUGAUGCU